RNAcentral lists this ribosomal RNA (427 nucleotides) under uncultured bacterium. Its description in RNAcentral is "partial 16S ribosomal RNA". It matches the Rfam family "Bacterial small subunit ribosomal RNA", at positions 354 to 796 of the family's 1533-position model. The record is from RNAcentral.
GUGGGGAAUAUUGCACAAUGGGGGAAACCCUGAUGCAGCCAUGCCGCGUGUGUGAAGAAGGCCUUCGGGUUGUAAAGAACUUUAAGUAGGGAAGAAGAAAGUGACGGUACCUACAGAAUAAGCGACGGCUAAAUACGUGCCAGCAGCCGCGGUAAUACGUAUGUCGCAAGCGUUAUCCGGAAUUAUUGGGCAUAAAGCGCGUCUAGGCGGUUUACUAAGUCUGAUGUGAAAAUGCGGAGCUCAACUCCGUAUUGCGUUGGAAACUGGUAGACUAGAGUAUUGGAGAGGUAGGCGGAACUACAAGUGUAGAGGUGAAAUUCGUAGAUAUUUGUAGGAAUGCCAAUGACGAAGGUAGCUUACUGGACAAAUACUGACGCUGAAGCGCGAAAGCUAGGGGAGCAAACAGGAUUAGAAACCCCGGUAGUCC